Non-coding RNA from Brassica napus (rape), 556 nucleotides. The record is from Rfam. Lineage: Eukaryota; Viridiplantae; Streptophyta; Magnoliopsida; Brassicales; Brassicaceae.
CUUGUUCAGCUCCUUUGAGCUUGCCUUUGCCUUAUUUUUUGUUAAGUUCCAGCUACCUGAUUCCCUUAACCAUGUGACCUGACAGGUGCGUCUCCUCGCACUAAGGUCUGUCCGGACGAUCCUAUCCAGGAUCGGGGAUGCUAGAGUGAGAGCCCCGUCGUGCCCGGACCCUGUCGCACCACGAGGUGCUGUCUACGAGUCUGGUUGUUUGGGAAUGCAGCCCCAAUCAGGCGGUAAAUUCCGUCCAAGGCUAAAUAUGGGCGAGAGACCGAUAGCGAACAAGUACCAUUAUCGGGAGGGAAGCGGAUGGGGGCUGGCGAUUCGUCCCGGUCGGAUGCAGAACGGAGCAAUCCGGUCGGCCGUUCGAUUCAGGUGGUGACCUAAGCCCGGGCUUUUGUUACACCCGCGGAGACGUUGCUGCCUUAAUCAUGGUCUGCAGCAUGCGCCUCAUGGCGUGCCUUGGCAUCUGCGUGCUCAGGGCUUCGGCCUGUGGGCUCCUCAUUCGACCCGUCUUGAAACACGGACCAAGGAGUCUGACAUGUGUGCAACUCAAUGG